RNAcentral lists this ribosomal RNA (440 nucleotides) under uncultured bacterium. RNAcentral describes it as "partial 16S ribosomal RNA". It matches the Rfam family "Bacterial small subunit ribosomal RNA", at positions 338 to 795 of the family's 1533-position model. The record is from RNAcentral.
CCUACGGGAGGCAGCAGUGGGGAAUAUUGCACAAUGGGGGAAACCCUGAUGCAGCGACGCCGCGUGAGCGAUGAAGUAUUUCGGUAUGUAAAGCUCUAUCAGCAGGGAAGAAAAUGACGGUACCUGACUAAGAAGCCCCGGCUAACUACGUGCCAGCAGCCGCGGUAAUACGUAGGGGGCAAGCGUUCUCCGGAUUUACUGGGUGUAACGGGAGCGUAGACGGGCCUGCAAGCCAGAUGUGAAAGCCCGGGGCUCAACCCCGGGACUGCAUUUGGAACUGUAAGGCGAGAGGGUCGGAGAGGCAGGCGGAAUUCCUAGUGUAGCGGUGAAAUGCGUAGAUAUUAGGAGGAACACCAGUGGCGAAGGCGGCCUGCUGGACGAUGACUGACGUUGAGGCUCGAAAGCGUGGGGAGCAAACAGGAUUAGAUACCCGAGUAGUC